RNAcentral lists this transfer RNA (16 nucleotides) under Holbrookia maculata (lesser earless lizard). RNAcentral describes it as "partial tRNA-Lys". The record is from RNAcentral. Lineage: Eukaryota; Metazoa; Chordata; Lepidosauria; Squamata; Phrynosomatidae.
CCCCCCCCCUCAAUGA